UACGUAGGUGGCAAGCGUUGUCCGGAAUUAUUGGGCGUAAAGCGCGCGCAGGUGGUUUAAUAAGUCUGAUGUGAAAGCCCACGGCUCAACCGUGGAGGGUCAUUGGAAACUGUUAAACUUGAGUGCAGGAGAGAAAAGUGGAAUUCCUAGUGUAGCGGUGAAAUGCGUAGAGAUUAGGAGGAACACCAGUGGCGAAGGCGGCUUUUUGGCCUGUAACUGACACUGAGGCGCGAAAGCGUGGGGAGCAAACAGGAUUAGAUACCCCCGUAGUCC
Molecule: ribosomal RNA, 273 nt
Filed under: uncultured Gemella sp.
Lineage: Bacteria; Bacillati; Bacillota; Bacilli; Caryophanales; Gemellaceae
Description: partial 16S ribosomal RNA
Rfam family: Bacterial small subunit ribosomal RNA
Source: RNAcentral